CUGGAAGAGAGCUUAGAGACGAUCUGGUUUAAAUUCAUUUUUACUGAUGACAAGAACUGACUUGCUUUGUUUAUUCCCACAGGGUUUGGAGGAAGAUCCAGUGAGAUAAUGAUGACGAGAGGCACCACUGAGUUCGCUUGCUCUGCGAUCUUCUGAAAAUGGACGAAAGAAAGGCUUUAUAAUUCAAAAGAUCUGUGGUCCCAGGGACACGAAUUCCUUGUGUGGGCGUCUAGGACACAGCCACAAUAGACACUGCACAGGAAGACCUGAAGCUGGCAGAGCCUUAUUCCAGAGUCCAGCAAAGCAAGUCCUACCGCCUUUUCCAGGAAUGUGGAAUGCCUCCAGUCACAAACUCGCUAAUUUGUGACACUGGGCAGGCACUUCUGGAAUGGGGUUUUUCCAGCACUAACAAGCAACGAAGGCUGAGAUGACAAAGGGUCCCUGAUUGGCAUCAUGCUUCAGGGAGGAAUGGGCUUAGAACACACGUCCACUUCAAUCUGCUUUCAGGUAAACCUAGAUCUGGCAGGGGUAAAGUGGUGUGCAAAACAACACAGACUGGCUGCCCCCCUCCUCCACCCUAGGUUUUGUUUUCAACAAUUAUUAGAUUUACUUUUCAGGGAAAAGCAAAGAGUGGGAGGCAGAGGAGAUAAAGGCCAAUGGGCCACGAAUCCUCUGAAACUGGGCAAAUACAGACCGGUCAUCAGUGGUUUCUUGGCUAUCAC
RNAcentral lists this long non-coding RNA (722 nucleotides) under Equus caballus (horse). Its description in RNAcentral is "lncRNA (ENSECAG00000057717.1)". Lineage: Eukaryota; Metazoa; Chordata; Mammalia; Perissodactyla; Equidae. The record is from RNAcentral.